CAUGCGGCUACAUCCCGUUGGGAAUUUUCUAGCCAUUGUCGUCAGGAGAUAGAUCGUGCUCUGUCGGAGGGCGGUUCCGCAUUCCUGAGCGACGUCGAGUCACAACCGCUUCGGGCUUGUUGCGUCGCGCUGCCGGAGGGCGUCAUGUCGCCCGCGUGCUGGAAGAGUCGUGCCAGGGGGCGCGGGCAUGCGCGCUGCGCUCGCCGUCCGCAUAGCCUCUUCGGAGGCAAGGCGAGAAUCGUCUGGCGCCGCAUUCUGCUGCUGUGCCUGGAGAUAUCUAUGGCCGCUGGUCGCCUGCGUGAAGGCUGAGGGCCACGGUUGCGCUGGACAGCGUUACGUUGCCGCUGUCCAGCAGGUUAGUACUAAUUUUUAUAUGUGGGAAUAAGAAAAUUUGGAUUAGAAUCACCUCAUGAUGUAGCAAUUAAGGUCCAAGAGUUUUGAUCUCUGUACUUCAUGUGUGAAGUACGGAAUCUGAUUUGAUGCUACUAGUUCGUGACUUGACUCUCCUUUUUUCUUAUUCGAUUUAUGCUUCCUGAUUCAUGUUCUUCUCGGUUCUUCUCACGAAAUACGCAGUUCCUCCUUCUGUACUUCUUGUUUGCGAUUUCCAAAAUACAAGUAGUUAUUAGAUCUUGGAUUGAUUGCAAGGAAACAAAGACAAAUUGAACAAUCUCCUGGUCCUGUUUUCCUCUGUUACGAAUGUAUGCAUGUCCAUGGAUUCUUUGUGUGGACGGAAUCAAGAGUGAUCGAAUCAGCAACAACAAGAAUUUUAUUCUCUCGUGUGGCCUUUUCUCAGCGAAGCACAAAACUGCUUCAUAACGUGUUAAAUGUAAAACGUAAAGAUCGAAAAGAGAUGAAUGAAAGAUGAUUCAUUUGUAUUUAUUGAUGAUAGAAGUGGGGUAUUUAUACCCGGACAGAAGUACACAAGUUGUUUGGCAGCCAAGUAAACACAUAGU
This 953-nucleotide long non-coding RNA is filed under the name Hordeum vulgare. RNAcentral's name for it is "long non-coding RNA (HVUL_LNC012728)". Lineage: Eukaryota; Viridiplantae; Streptophyta; Magnoliopsida; Poales; Poaceae. The record is from RNAcentral.